RNAcentral lists this ribosomal RNA (574 nucleotides) under uncultured marine bacterium. RNAcentral describes it as "bacterial SSU rRNA". It matches the Rfam family "Bacterial small subunit ribosomal RNA", at positions 338 to 905 of the family's 1533-position model. The record is from RNAcentral.
CCUACGGGAGGCAGCAGUGGGGAAUUUUGGACAAUGGGGGCAACCCUGAUCCAGCAAUGCCGCGUGUGUGAAGAAGGCCUUCGGGUUGUAAAGCACUUUUGUCCGGAAAGAAAUCGCGCUGGUUAAUACCUGGCGUGGAUGACGGUACCGGAAGAAUAAGCACCGGCUAACUACGUGCCAGCAGCCGCGGUAAUACGUAGGGUGCGAGCGUUAAUCGGAAUUACUGGGCGUAAAGCGUGCGCAGGCGGUUUUGUAAGACAGGCGUGAAAUCCCCGGGCUUAACCUGGGAAUUGCGCUUGUGACUGCAAGGCUAGAGUGCGUCAGAGGGGGGUAGAAUUCCACGUGUAGCAGUGAAAUGCGUAGAGAUGUGGAGGAAUACCGAUGGCGAAGGCAGCCCCCUGGGACGUGACUGACGCUCAUGCACGAAAGCGUGGGGAGCAAACAGGAUUAGAUACCCUGGUAGUCCACGCCCUAAACGAUGUCAACUAGUUGUUGGGGAUUCAUUUUCUCAGUAACGUAGCUAACGCGUGAAGUUGACCGCCUGGGGAGUACGGUCGCAAGAUUAAAACUCAAA